RNAcentral lists this unclassified non-coding RNA (296 nucleotides) under Leishmania gerbilli. RNAcentral's name for it is "sequence contains 18S rRNA gene, ITS1 and 5.8S rRNA gene". Lineage: Eukaryota; Euglenozoa; Kinetoplastea; Trypanosomatida; Trypanosomatidae. The record is from RNAcentral.
AUUACACCCAAAAAACAUAUACAACUUGGGGAGGCCUAUUAUAUAUAUAUAUUAUAGGCCUUUCCCACAUACACAGCAAACUUUUAUACUCGAAAUUUGCAGUAAAAAAGGCCGAUCGACGUUAUAGAACGCACACACACCGCCUAUAUACACAAAAGCAAAAAUGUCCGUUUAUACAAAACAUAUACGGCGUUUCGGUUUUUGGCAGGGGGGGGGUGCGCGUGCGCGUGGAUAACGGCUCACAUAACGUGUCGCGAUGGAUGACUUGGCUUCCUAUUUCGUUGAAGAACGCAGUA